UCCAGAUAUAAUUUCUGGUGCAAUGUACUCUUCAGUCCCAACAAAAGAAUUUGAUGCUCUCAUUGGUUCAGCUAGAAAAACUGGAGGACAUCUACCCCCUUUCUGCAUCUUUUUUAUAUCCUGGGUACUUGGAAGCAAAAUCUGUGGUUUACAAGAUGUCAGACAAGAUAGAUCAAAAUCAGUCAGAGACACGUGACCAUCCCUUUGAAGCAAGAUAUUUUCUGGUUUUAGGUCUCUGUAGAUGAUA
Molecule: unclassified non-coding RNA, 247 nt
Filed under: Hevea brasiliensis (rubber tree)
Lineage: Eukaryota; Viridiplantae; Streptophyta; Magnoliopsida; Malpighiales; Euphorbiaceae
Source: RNAcentral